GGCCUCAAAUCAGGUAGGACUACCCGCUGAACUUAAGCAU
This 40-nucleotide ribosomal RNA is filed under the name Pyrrhoderma noxium. RNAcentral describes it as "partial 28S ribosomal RNA". The record is from RNAcentral. Lineage: Eukaryota; Fungi; Basidiomycota; Agaricomycetes; Hymenochaetales; Hymenochaetaceae.